UACGGGGGGAGCAAGCGUUGUUCGGAUUUACUGGGCGUAAAGGGCGCGUAGGCGGCGCAACAAGUCACUUGUGAAAUCUCCGGGCUUAACCCGGAGCGGCCAAGUGAUACUGUCGUGCUAGAGUGCGGAAGGGGCUACUGGAAUUCUCGGUGUAGCGGUGAAAUGCGUAGAUAUCAGGAGGAACACCGGUGGCGAAGGCGGGAUCCUGGGCCAGUACUGACGCUGAGGAGCGAAAGCGUGGGGAGCAAACAGG
This 253-nucleotide ribosomal RNA is filed under the name uncultured bacterium. RNAcentral's name for it is "partial 16S ribosomal RNA". It matches the Rfam family "Bacterial small subunit ribosomal RNA", at positions 524 to 776 of the family's 1533-position model. The record is from RNAcentral.